RNAcentral lists this ribosomal RNA (898 nucleotides) under uncultured bacterium. RNAcentral's name for it is "bacterial SSU rRNA". It matches the Rfam family "Bacterial small subunit ribosomal RNA", at positions 79 to 989 of the family's 1533-position model. The record is from RNAcentral.
CUGCUCGAAGAUCUUAGUGGCGGACGGGUGAGUAACGCGUGGGCAAUCUGCCCGUAAGAGGGGGAUAACACCUAGAAAUGGGUGCUAAUACCGCAUAACAUCAUAGGGUUGCAUAACCUUAUGAUCAAAGGAGAAAUCCGCUUACGGAUGAGCCCGCGUCUGAUUAGCUAGUUGGUGGGGUAACGGCCUACCAAGGCGACGAUCAGUAGCCGGCCUGAGAGGGUGAUCGGCCACACUGGAACUGAGACACGGUCCAGACUCCUACGGGAGGCAGCAGUGGGGAAUCUUCCGCAAUGGGCGAAAGCCUGACGGAGCAACGCCGCGUGAGUGAUGAAGGCCUUCGGGUUGUAAAACUCUGUCUUCAGGGAAGAAAAAAAUGACGGUACCUGAGGAGGAAGCCACGGCUAACUACGUGCCAGCAGCCGCGGUAAUACGUAGGUGGCAAGCGUUGUCCGGAAUUACUGGGCGUAAAGAGCGCGUAGGCGGGGAUUUAAGUCAGGAGUGAAAACUACCGGCUCAACCGGUAGCCUGCUCUUGAAACUGAAUCUCUUGAGGGUAUGAGAGGAAAGCGGAAUUCCCAGUGUAGCGGUGAAAUGCGUAGAUAUUGGGAGGAACACCAGUGGCGAAGGCGGCUUUCUGGCAUACAACUGACGCUGAGGCGCGAAAGCGUGGGGAGCAAACGGGAUUAGAUACCCCGGUAGUCCACGCCGUAAACGAUGGGCACUAGGUGUAGGAGGUAUCGACCCCUUCUGUGCCAUAGUUAACACAAUAAGUGCCCCGCCUGGGGAGUACGGCCGCAAGGUUGAAACUCAAAGGAAUUGACGGGGGCCCGCACAAGCGGUGGAGUAUGUGGUUUAAUUCGACGCAACGCGAAGAACCUUACCAGGGCUUGACAUCC